GUGAAACUAACUACUGCGGGAGAGCACCGUGCUGGCAGCGCGGGGGUCAGGGGUUCAAAUCCCCUAUUCUCCACCA
RNAcentral lists this transfer RNA (76 nucleotides) under Alicyclobacillaceae bacterium I2511. RNAcentral describes it as "Firmicutes bacterium I2511 tRNA-Ala". Lineage: Bacteria; Bacillati; Bacillota; Bacilli; Caryophanales; Alicyclobacillaceae. The record is from RNAcentral.